GACGAACGCUGGCGGCGUGCUUAACACAUGCAAGUCGAGCGGUAAGGCCCUUUCGGGGGUACACGAGCGGCGAACGGGUGAGUAACACGUGGGUGACCUGCCCUCAGCUCUGGGAUAAGCCUGGGAAACCGGGUCUAAUACCGGAUAUGACUCCAUGACGCAUGUUGUGGGGUGGAAAGCCUUGUGCGGCUGAGGAUGGGCCCGCGGCCUAUCAGCUUGUUGGUGGGGUGAUGGCCUACCAAGGCGACGACGGGUAGCCGGCCUGAGAGGGCGACCGGCCACACUGGGACUGAGACACGGCCCAGACUCCUACGGGAGGCAGCAGUGGGGAAUCUUGCGCAAUGGGGCG
This 349-nucleotide ribosomal RNA is filed under the name uncultured bacterium. RNAcentral's name for it is "bacterial SSU rRNA". It matches the Rfam family "Bacterial small subunit ribosomal RNA", at positions 28 to 378 of the family's 1533-position model. The record is from RNAcentral.